RNAcentral lists this ribosomal RNA (496 nucleotides) under uncultured Cohnella sp. RNAcentral describes it as "bacterial SSU rRNA". It matches the Rfam family "Bacterial small subunit ribosomal RNA", at positions 35 to 507 of the family's 1533-position model. The record is from RNAcentral. Lineage: Bacteria; Bacillati; Bacillota; Bacilli; Caryophanales; Paenibacillaceae.
GCUGGCGGCGUGCCUAAUACAUGCAAGUCGAACGGAUCUCUGAUGGAGCUUGCUCCUGAUGAGGUUAGUGGCGGACGGGUGAGUAACACGUAGGCAACCUGCCCUCAAGAUCGGGAUAACAUUCGGAAACGAAUGCUAAGACCGGAUACACGGGUUUGGUCGCAUGAUCGGAUCGGGAAACACGGAGCAAUCUGUGGCUUGGGGAUGGGCCCUGCGGGCGCAUUAGCUAGUUGGUGGGGUAACGGCUCACCAAGGCGACGAUGCGUAGCCGACCUGAGAGGGUGAACGGCCACACUGGGACUGAGACACGGCCCAGACUCCUACGGGAGGCAGCAGUAGGGAAUCUUCCACAAUGGGCGAAAGCCUGAUGGAGCAACGCCGCGUGAGUGAGGAAGGCUUUCGGGUCGUAAAGCUCUGUUGCCAGGGAAGAAUAAGGGUGAGGUAACUAACUCAUCUGAUGACGGUACCUGAGAAGAAAGCCCCGGCUAACUACGUG